CGUGGCUGGUUUUGAAGAAUGCGACUGAAAAAAAGGUUGAAGGGUGGACGGAGGCUGGAGCAAGGGGCGUCCCUGGGUCUGUUCCAUCCAAACACUGUUGAAGCAAGAGACAGAUCCGCAAAUACGGAAGAGCAGACUUCUGAACUCCAGACACC
Molecule: non-coding RNA, 155 nt
Organism: Vicugna pacos (alpaca)
Lineage: Eukaryota; Metazoa; Chordata; Mammalia; Artiodactyla; Camelidae
Source: RefSeq, a predicted model, not a curated record